GUCUUUUUGUAUUUUUUAAAAAGUCUAACCUGCCCACUGAUAAUUAUUAAAUGGCCGCAGUAUACUAACUGUGCAAAGGUAGCAUAAUCAUUAGUCUUUUAAUUGAAGGCUGGUAUGAAUGGUUGGACGAGAUAUUAACUGUUUCAUAAUAAUUUAUAUUAGAAUUUUAUUUUUUAGUUAAAAAGCUAAAAUUUAUUUAAAAGACGAGAAGACCCUAUAAAUCUUUAUAUUUAUAUUAUUAUAAUUUUUUAGAUUAAUUUUAUUUUAAUAAUUUAUGAUAUUUUAUUGGGGUGAUAUUAAAAUUUAAUAAACUUUUAAUUUAUUUUUUACAUAAAUUAAUGAUAUUAUGAUCCGUUAUUAAUGAUUAAAAAAUUAAGUUACUUUAGGGAUAACAGCGUAAUUUUUUUGGAGAGUUCAUAUCGAUAAAAAAGAUUGCGACCUCGAUGUUGGAUUAAGAUAUAUUUUUAGGUGUAGCUGCUUAAAUUUUAAGUCUGUUCGACUUUUAAAUUCUUACGUG
This 517-nucleotide ribosomal RNA is filed under the name Graphomya paucimaculata. Its description in RNAcentral is "partial 16S ribosomal RNA". The stretch from base 388 to 517 matches the Rfam family "Bacterial large subunit ribosomal RNA", at positions 2473 to 2602 of the family's 2925-position model. Lineage: Eukaryota; Metazoa; Arthropoda; Insecta; Diptera; Muscidae. The record is from RNAcentral.